This 1621-nucleotide ribosomal RNA is filed under the name Escherichia coli C496_10. RNAcentral describes it as "bacterial LSU rRNA". It matches the Rfam family "Bacterial large subunit ribosomal RNA", at positions 1221 to 2826 of the family's 2925-position model. Lineage: Bacteria; Pseudomonadati; Pseudomonadota; Gammaproteobacteria; Enterobacterales; Enterobacteriaceae. The record is from RNAcentral.
UUGUUGGGUAGGGGAGCGUUCUGUAAGCCUGCGAAGGUGUGCUGUGAGGCAUGCUGGAGGUAUCAGAAGUGCGAAUGCUGACAUAAGUAACGAUAAAGCGGGUGAAAAGCCCGCUCGCCGGAAGACCAAGGGUUCCUGUCCAACGUUAAUCGGGGCAGGGUGAGUCGACCCCUAAGGCGAGGCCGAAAGGCGUAGUCGAUGGGAAACAGGUUAAUAUUCCUGUACUUGGUGUUACUGCGAAGGGGGGACGGAGAAGGCUAUGUUGGCCGGGCGACGGUUGUCCCGGUUUAAGCGUGUAGGCUGGUUUUCCAGGCAAAUCCGGAAAAUCAAGGCUGAGGCGUGAUGACGAGGCACUACGGUGCUGAAGCAACAAAUGCCCUGCUUCCAGGAAAAGCCUCUAAGCAUCAGGUAACAUCAAAUCGUACCCCAAACCGACACAGGUGGUCAGGUAGAGAAUACCAAGGCGCUUGAGAGAACUCGGGUGAAGGAACUAGGCAAAAUGGUGCCGUAACUUCGGGAGAAGGCACGCUGAUAUGUAGGUGAAGUCCCUCGCGGAUGGAGCUGAAAUCAGUCGAAGAUACCAGCUGGCUGCAACUGUUUAUUAAAAACACAGCACUGUGCAAACACGAAAGUGGACGUAUACGGUGUGACGCCUGCCCGGUGCCGGAAGGUUAAUUGAUGGGGUUAGCGCAAGCGAAGCUCUUGAUCGAAGCCCCGGUAAACGGCGGCCGUAACUAUAACGGUCCUAAGGUAGCGAAAUUCCUUGUCGGGUAAGUUCCGACCUGCACGAAUGGCGUAAUGAUGGCCAGGCUGUCUCCACCCGAGACUCAGUGAAAUUGAACUCGCUGUGAAGAUGCAGUGUACCCGCGGCAAGACGGAAAGACCCCGUGAACCUUUACUAUAGCUUGACACUGAACAUUGAGCCUUGAUGUGUAGGAUAGGUGGGAGGCUUUGAAGUGUGGACGCCAGUCUGCAUGGAGCCGACCUUGAAAUACCACCCUUUAAUGUUUGAUGUUCUAACGUUGACCCGUAAUCCGGGUUGCGGACAGUGUCUGGUGGGUAGUUUGACUGGGGCGGUCUCCUCCUAAAGAGUAACGGAGGAGCACGAAGGUUGGCUAAUCCUGGUCGGACAUCAGGAGGUUAGUGCAAUGGCAUAAGCCAGCUUGACUGCGAGCGUGACGGCGCGAGCAGGUGCGAAAGCAGGUCAUAGUGAUCCGGUGGUUCUGAAUGGAAGGGCCAUCGCUCAACGGAUAAAAGGUACUCCGGGGAUAACAGGCUGAUACCGCCCAAGAGUUCAUAUCGACGGCGGUGUUUGGCACCUCGAUGUCGGCUCAUCACAUCCUGGGGCUGAAGUAGGUCCCAAGGGUAUGGCUGUUCGCCAUUUAAAGUGGUACGCGAGCUGGGUUUAGAACGUCGUGAGACAGUUCGGUCCCUAUCUGCCGUGGGCGCUGGAGAACUGAGGGGGGCUGCUCCUAGUACGAGAGGACCGGAGUGGACGCAUCACUGGUGUUCGGGUUGUCAUGCCAAUGGCACUGCCCGGUAGCUAAAUGCGGAAGAGAUAAGUGCUGAAAGCAUCUAAGCACGAAACUUGCCCCGAGAUGAGUUCUCCCUGACUCCUUGA